RNAcentral lists this ribosomal RNA (583 nucleotides) under Hanseniaspora uvarum. Its description in RNAcentral is "partial large subunit ribosomal RNA". It matches the Rfam family "Eukaryotic large subunit ribosomal RNA", at positions 69 to 669 of the family's 3401-position model. The record is from RNAcentral. Lineage: Eukaryota; Fungi; Ascomycota; Saccharomycetes; Saccharomycodales; Saccharomycodaceae.
CCAGGGAUACUUAGUACGGCGAGUGAGCGGUAAAAGCUCAAAUUUGAAAUCUGGUACUUUCAGUGCCCGAGUUGUAAUUUGUAGAAUUUGUCUUUGAUUAGGUCCUUGUCUAUGUUCCUUGGAACAGGACGUCAUAGAGGGUGAGAAUCCCGUUUGGCGAGGAUACCUUUUCUCUGUAAGACUUUUUCGAAGAGUCGAGUUGUUUGGGAAUGCAGCUCAAAGUGGGUGGUAAAUUCCAUCUAAAGCUAAAUAUUGGCGAGAGACCGAUAGCGAACAAGUACAGUGAUGGAAAGAUGAAAAGAACUUUGAAAAGAGAGUGAAAAAGUACGUGAAAUUGUUGAAAGGGAAGGGCAUUUGAUCAGACAUGGUGUUUUUUGCAUGCACUCGCCUCUCGUGGGCUUGGGCCUCUCAAAAAUUUCACUGGGCCAACAUCAAUUCUGGCAGCAGGAUAAAUCAUUAAGAAUGUAGCUACUUCGGUAGUGUUAUAGCUUUUUGGAAUACUGUUAGCCGGGAUUGAGGACUGCGCUUCGGCAAGGAUGUUGGCAUAAUGGUUAAAUGCCGCCCGUCUUGACCCCCGGAACCA